This is a non-coding RNA of Camellia sinensis, 1096 nucleotides long. The record is from RefSeq and is a predicted model, not a curated record. NCBI's taxonomy places the organism in Eukaryota, Viridiplantae, Streptophyta, Magnoliopsida, Ericales, Theaceae.
AUAUUUUUAGACAGCUUCUUUUAAAAACUUUCUAAGCAGAGUUAUGUUCUAGGUGUAUAGAUGAUUCUAUAACUUAUUAGUGUGUAUGCUGCUAAAACUGAAUAUACCUCAGGUCAUAUUUUUGCCUUUGGAGAGUCCAGAGCCCCAGCAAUCGCCAACAUGGUUCUUGGGCUAAAGGAAAUUCAAAUUCGGGGAGAAAUUCGUACAAAUGUUGAUUAGAUCAUUGAUCUAUUACAUGCUUCAGAUUAUAAGGACAAUAAAAUACAUACAGGCUGGUUGGAUAGUAGAAUAACAAUGCGUGUUAGAGCAGAAAGGCCACCUUGGUAUCUCUCUGUUGUUGGUGGGGCUCUUUACAAAGCAUCCACUAGCAGUGCAGCUAUGGUUUCGGAGUAUGUUGGUUAUCUUGAAAAAGGGCAAAUCCCUCCUAAGGCACUGUGCUUUAGAGACCUGUUUUAGGACUGAGUUUAAUUGGGAACUUCAAACACUCCUUAGGUUAGGACUUUGGUUCUAUACCUGUUCCACUGUUCAAAUAUGCAAAGAUAUUUUCUAUUAAACAAAAUUUAAUAAGGCACAAUAAAUUAAAAAAAUAUAUAGUAAAUUGUGUAAAUCACGUAACUGGAAUAUAUAUUCAUUUGAAGGUUGGAUGCUAAUGAAUGAGAUUGUUUAGAAACCUCAAAUAUGUUCUCAUCUGCUUCAAAGCAUGGGCUGAAUAAUCAGGUGAUCAAGGUUAAAAACUGCAGUUUUCGAUUUGCAGCUCUUUAUGCUCAGUUGCUCUUCUUAGCAGGAUGAUGAAUUGCAGGCAUUAUAUCUUUUUUUUUUUUUUCGUUUCUGAGGCUAUGAGCUAGUUUGUCAAGUUGAUUGCGCUAAGUAAAUCUUUCUUGGUGCAGUCGUUUUAAGUCUCUUUUUUACACUUGUUUCUGGUUUAGUUUACCAUGCAAACUUCAAAGACUUCAAAGUAGAGCUGGUUAUGUCUUAAGUUUGCUUAAUGUCCAAUUUGGGUGGGGUGUCAUCUGGCUACAACAGACUUCAUCCAUUUAUUAUCAUCUUUGUAAGAAAAUAACAAUAAAAAUAGGGCAGCCUAGUGCAACUGUGCAUG